This 254-nucleotide ribosomal RNA is filed under the name uncultured bacterium. Its description in RNAcentral is "partial 16S ribosomal RNA". It matches the Rfam family "Bacterial small subunit ribosomal RNA", at positions 524 to 776 of the family's 1533-position model. The record is from RNAcentral.
CACGUAGGCACCAAGCGUUGUCCGGAUUUAUUGGGCGUAAAGAGCUCGUAGGCGGUUCAGUAAGUCGGGUGUGAAAACUCAGGGCUCAACCCUGAGCGGCCACCCGAUACUGCUGUGACUUGAGUCUGGUAGGGGAGUGGGGAAUUCCUGGUGUAGCGGUGAAAUGCGCAGAUAUCAGGAGGAACACCGGUGGCGAAGGCGCCACUCUGGGCCACGACUGACGCUGAGGAGCGAAAGCAUGGGUAGCAAACAGG